UACGUAGGGUGCGAGCGUUGUCCGGAAUUAUUGGGCGUAAAGGGCUCGUAGGCGGUCUGUCACGUCGGGAGUGAAAACUCAGGGCUUAACCCUGAGCCUGCUUCCGAUACGGGCAGACUAGAGGUAUGCAGGGGAGAACGGAAUUCCUGGUGUAGCGGUGAAAUGCGCAGAUAUCAGGAGGAACACCGAUGGCGAAGGCAGCUUGCUGGGACGGUACUGACGCUGAGACGCGAAAGCGUGGGGAGCAAACAGG
This 253-nucleotide ribosomal RNA is filed under the name uncultured bacterium. RNAcentral describes it as "partial 16S ribosomal RNA". It matches the Rfam family "Bacterial small subunit ribosomal RNA", at positions 524 to 776 of the family's 1533-position model. The record is from RNAcentral.